This 495-nucleotide long non-coding RNA is filed under the name Monodelphis domestica (gray short-tailed opossum). Its description in RNAcentral is "lncRNA (ENSMODG00000047508.1)". Lineage: Eukaryota; Metazoa; Chordata; Mammalia; Didelphimorphia; Didelphidae. The record is from RNAcentral.
GGAAAUGGAAGUAAAGAAGGAAGAAAAAAGGGAAAAAAGGAAAUAGAGACAGCAGCCCAUGGUACCAAUGCUACUUCAAAGACAGCUGAGUGAGUUGGGUACAAGAGAAAAGAAAGAGAAGAGAGGCAAACAUUUGUUUAAACAGAAGUCUCCAGGUAUAACGAUUUUUUGUGCCAAUGAAUCCAGGCUUCCAACGCCAAGAGAGUGGGACUCUCUCUGUGCAUCGACUUUUCCACUUAAAUCUCCUUCACGCACAAGUGUUUUUGAACACUCAUCUACAUCAUAGAUGAAAGUGUACAAAGACAAUCAUCAUCCUCGGUUACCAAGAGACUACUACUAAUUUCCUUCUUCAUCUCUUUUGAUUAAACGAAUUUUUACUUUUGCUUUGUCUAAGAUCAUGAUUGCUACUCCUGCCUGGGUUACUCUCUCUUUUUGCCCCAGUGAGAUAUGUUCCUCCUUCUUUCCUUUGUUUCCAGGUGAUUUGUUUUCUUUGUA